Molecule: long non-coding RNA, 1123 nt
Organism: Lates calcarifer (barramundi perch)
Lineage: Eukaryota; Metazoa; Chordata; Actinopteri; Centropomidae
Exons: 2
Source: RefSeq, a predicted model, not a curated record
UAAAAGUCAGAAGAGCAGCGAGUCAGAGUUUCAAACGAUGAGACGAGGGAUGAAAGAAUAUUGUUCCCUGAUUAAAUAUCAUUAUAAAGGAACAGUUCAACAUUCUGUGAAAGUUUCUGAGAUGAGAUGUCGAGCAUCAGUCCUUGAACACAGCCUGGCUGGUUUUUAUGCUAAGCUAGGUUAAAUCAGCAGAGAUGAUAAAGUUUCUUUCAGAGCUGAAGUUCUGUUCAUUUGGUACCAAAGAAGAAACUGAUCCAUUCUUGUCUUUUACAUUUGCAGUGUUUAUAUCCUGCAGUGUUCAUCAGGUGGAUCCUGCUUUUUCCUCUCUACAGAUAUUUUUCCACUCAGCUUCAGUCCAGUCACAGCUGUCUCACAGGCUCAGACUCAGGUUUUUGUGUUGUAAAAACUUCAACACAAUCAGAGAAAUGAAAAGCACAGUUCAGUUAGAGAAUCCUCUCUCCUGAUUGGAGGAGGAGGUUUAAUCAGAGUCUGUGACGCAGCUAAAAACAGGAGCUCUGACUCUGGUUUGAACCCACAUCUCCUGGUUGGAGGUCAGUGUCCUUCCCCUCUGGACCAGAGAACCUCCUCCUUCAACCUUCAGACAGACUCAGGGUUCAGGUCUACCUGUGUCUGGUCUCAUCUGAUCUACAACUUGCUGCUAAAGGUUUCUCAGUGGUUUGAAGGUUCUCCUCGUGUUGCAUGUUUAGUUUCUGCAGCUGACACUUGUGUUGAUGUGAUCGGUGUUUGACGACUGAACCAAAGAGAAACCAGAGCUGAGAGUGGAUCAGCGCUGAAGACGGUCCAGUGGGGAAGGACGCCGACCUUCAACUGGGAGACGUGGGUUCAAACCCUGCUCAGGUACGACACACAGGUGUGAGUGUGAGAGAGUGUGUGGUUUCAUUUGCUGGUUCAAAAACUCAAAACUCAAAACUCAAAAAACCAAAAACUCAAACCCUAAAACUUUCAAACCUUGCGAUCGUUGCGUUCGUCGAAUUUCACUUCGAUUUCAACUUGCGAAUUUCUGAAUUUCUGAAUUUCCACCGAGGAGCAACAAGGAGGAAACAGAACAGAUGAGCCCAGGGGGUUCAGCUAGCUUAGCUAAGCUAGCUGGACAGGCAUUUUG